GGGGAAUAUUGGACAAUGGGCGAAAGCCUGAUCCAGCCAUGCCGCGUGUGUGAAGAAGGUCUCCGGAUUGUAAAGCACUUUAAGAGGGGAGGAAGGGAUGCAAGCUAAUACCGUGUAGUUUUGACGUUACAAACAGAAUAAGCACCGGCUAACUUCGUGCCAGCAGCCGCGGUAAUACGAAGGGUGCAAGCGUUAAUCGGAAUUACUGGGCGUAAAGCGCGAGUAGGUGGUUUGGUAAGAUGGAUGUGAAAUCCCCGGGCUCAACCUGGGAACUGCAUCCAUAACUGCCUGACUAGAGGACGGUAGAGGGUGGUGGAAUUUCCUGUGUAGCGGUGAAAUGCGUAGAUAUAGGAAGGAACACCAGUGGCGAAGGCGACCACCUGGACUGAUACUGACACUGAGGUGCGAA
Molecule: ribosomal RNA, 409 nt
Filed under: uncultured bacterium
Lineage: Bacteria
Description: bacterial SSU rRNA
Rfam family: Bacterial small subunit ribosomal RNA
Source: RNAcentral